This 28-nucleotide non-coding RNA is filed under the name Mus musculus (house mouse). Lineage: Eukaryota; Metazoa; Chordata; Mammalia; Rodentia; Muridae. The record is from RNAcentral.
UGGAGACCCUCUGAGCUGAUCUCGUGAC